Molecule: ribosomal RNA, 772 nt
Filed under: uncultured bacterium
Lineage: Bacteria
Description: bacterial SSU rRNA
Rfam family: Bacterial small subunit ribosomal RNA
Source: RNAcentral
CUGGAUUCGCCCUUAGUUGAUCAUGGCUCAGGAUGAACGCUGGCGGCGUGCCUAACACAUGCAAGUCGAACGAUUCUNUUCGGAGAAGAGCGGCGGACGGGUGAGUAACGCGUGGGUAACCUGCCUCAUACACAUGGAUAACAUACCGAAAGGUAUGCUAAUACAGGAURAYAUAAGAGAUUUCGCAUGGAUUUCUUAUCAAAGCUCCGGCGGUAUGAGAUGGACCCGCGUCUGAUUAGCUAGUUGGUAAGGUAAUGGCUUACCAAGGCGACGAUCAGUAGCCGACCUGAGAGGGUGAUCGGCCACAUUGGAACUGAGACACGGUCCAAACUCCUACGGGAGGCAGCAGUGGGGAAUAUUGCACAAUGGGCGAAAGCCUGAUGCAGCAACGCCGCGUGAGUGAUGAAGGCCUUCGGGUCGUAAAACUCUGUCCUCAAGGAAGAUAAUGACGGUACUUGAGGAGGAAGCCCCGGCUAACUACGUGCCAGCAGCCGCGGUAAUACGUAGGGGGCUAGCGUUAUCCGGAUUUACUGGGCGUAAAGGGUGCGUAGGUGGUUUCUUAAGUCAGGAGUGAAAGGCUACGGCUCAACCGUAGUAAGCUCUUGAAACUGGGAAACUUGAGUGCAGGAGAGGAAAGUGGAAUUCCUAGUGUAGCGGUGAAAUGCGUAGAUAUUAGGAGGAACACCAGUAGCGAAGGCGGCUUUCUGGACUGUAACUGACACUGAGGCACGAAAGCGUGGGGAGCAAACAGGAUUAGAUACCCUGGUAGUCC